GGUCCUAACCCUGCCAUGGGCACCAGGCUCCUCUGCUGCCUAACUUUCUGUCUCCUGGGGACAGAUCACACCAAAGCUGGAGUCUGCCAGUCCCCCAGGAACAGAGUCUCAGAGAGAGGACAGGAUGUCGCUUUCAAGUGUGAUCCCAUUUCUGAACACACCCAACUUUGCUGGUACCGAGAGACACUGGGGAAGGGCCUGGAGUUUCUGAUGUAUUUUCAGGAUGAUUUUGCAUCAGACACAUCAGGGAUGCUUAAAGAUCAAUUCUCUGCUGAGAGGCCCGAGGGAUCCUCCCCCAUUCUGAAGAUCCAGCACACAGAGCAGGGGGACUCGGCCGUGUAUCUCUGCCAGCAGCUCAGCCACAACAUGGCACCGUCCCUUCCUUCCUCUCCACAAACCCUCAUGUGCUACCUCUCCUCAUGGCUCCCAGGAUCCCGAAUAAAGAAGUUGCCUGCUCUUCCCUCAUCAAGGGGAACAAGUGCUAUGGGUUCUGCCAUUCUUCUGACAGGAGGAGGUCAGGAAACAACCUUCCACAUACUGGAACAGAUAACAUUGGGUAGCGAUAAUUUUGGCUCAUGGAUUUCUAGGAUUCUUUUACACAGUUCAAGAUUCUACAAUUGUGAUCGACUAUCAGAGUUUAGUGUCAAGGGUAGUGAAAUAUUCUCAGUUAAAACUAUAAAAUUUUUGCAUAUUUACAAUAAACGCCUAUUACUGACGUCCUUAACUCAGACCACACUAUGUCCAGCUGUGGGUUAGCCAAUACAGAACUCUGUAAGGCCACGCGCAGCC
Molecule: non-coding RNA, 789 nt
Organism: Equus caballus (horse)
Lineage: Eukaryota; Metazoa; Chordata; Mammalia; Perissodactyla; Equidae
Source: the annotation of a RefSeq genome assembly